Molecule: ribosomal RNA, 465 nt
Filed under: uncultured bacterium
Lineage: Bacteria
Description: partial 16S ribosomal RNA
Rfam family: Bacterial small subunit ribosomal RNA
Source: RNAcentral
GACGAACGCUGGCGGCGUGCUUAACACAUGCAAGUCGAACGGAAAGGCCAUGCUUGCGGGGUUCUCGCGUGGCGAACGGGUGAGUAAGUCACGGGUGAUUAGCCCUCCUCUUCGGGUUAGGUCUCGUAAACUGGGUCUAAUAACGACCAGAAGACAUAUUUAAUGUCAUGGUUGGAUAGUUUUUUCGGUGUUUGCUGAGCUUGAGGCCUAUCAGCUUGUUGGGGUGGUAAUGGCCUACCGAGGCGGCGUCGGGUAGCAGGACUGCGAGGGUGACCGGCGACACUGGGACUGAGGGGCGGCCCAGACACCGACGGGAGGCAGAAGGGGGGAAGAUUGAAGAAGGGGCGCAAGCCGGGUGCAGAGACGCCGCGUGGGGGAGGACUGCCUUCGGGUUGUAAAACACUUUCGCAAGGGACGAAGCUUUUUGUGACGGUACCUAGACAAGAAGCACCGGCUAACUACGUG